AGGAGGAACAGCCCCAGUGGCGGGCCAGCUCUGGAGCCCUGGAUUCAGCUCCGGCAGGAACUCCGUCUGCAGGGCCUGGAGGCUCCGGGGCGGG
Canis lupus familiaris (dog) is the source of this 94-nucleotide non-coding RNA. NCBI's taxonomy places the organism in Eukaryota, Metazoa, Chordata, Mammalia, Carnivora, Canidae. The record is from Rfam.